UACAAAGGGGGCUAGCGUUGCUCGGAAUCACUGGGCGUAAAGCGCACGUAGGCGGCUUUUUAAGUCAGGGGUGAAAUCCUGGAGCUCAACUCCAGAACUGCCUUUGAUACUGAGAAGCUUGAGUCCGGGAGAGGUGAGUGGAACUGCGAGUGUAGAGGUGAAAUUCGUAGAUAUUCGCAAGAACACCAGUGGCGAAGGCGGCUCACUGGCCCGGUACUGACGCUGAGGUGCGAAAGCGUGGGGAGCAAACGGG
This 253-nucleotide ribosomal RNA is filed under the name uncultured bacterium. RNAcentral's name for it is "partial 16S ribosomal RNA". It matches the Rfam family "Bacterial small subunit ribosomal RNA", at positions 524 to 776 of the family's 1533-position model. The record is from RNAcentral.